UCCAGCUCCCAUAGCGUAUAUUAAAGUUGUUGCAGUUAAAAAGCUCGUAGUUGAAUUUCGGAGUUUGUCCGUUGGUCGGGCUCCACUGUCCGCACUGGCGUGAUGGAUUCCUACCUUCUGAAUAACCGAGUCAUGCCUAUUAAUUUGGUGCGGUGGGAAAGCAGAACUAUUACCUUGAAAAAAUUAGAGUG
RNAcentral lists this ribosomal RNA (191 nucleotides) under uncultured Acaulospora. RNAcentral describes it as "partial 18S ribosomal RNA". It matches the Rfam family "Eukaryotic small subunit ribosomal RNA", at positions 584 to 773 of the family's 1831-position model. The record is from RNAcentral. Lineage: Eukaryota; Fungi; Glomeromycota; Glomeromycetes; Diversisporales; Acaulosporaceae.